AGUGCACGUUUGUUCGCAGAGCCAGCAAAGAGAGCCUCCGCCCGCCGCCGCCGCCGCCGCCCCCCCGCCCUCCGCCCGCCAACUUUGGAUCCCGCGGACUCCGCCCGGCCCGGCCUCCCCAGGCAUGGCGCCGCUGCGCUUCUCCGCCAAUCUGUCCUGGCUAUUCCCCGAGCUCCCCGGCCUCCCCGCGCGGGUGCGGGCCGCGGGCAGCUCGGGCUUCGAGGCCGUCGAGGUGGCCUGGCCGUACGCGGAGCCGCCUGAGACGCUGGCGCGCGCCGCGCGAGAAGCUGGGCUGCGGCUUGUACUGAUCAACACGCCCCCCGGUGCGCCGCGGGCCGGGAGGGCUGGUGGUGGGGGUGGGGGGCGCGGGCAGGGGAGUGCCCGAGCCGGUGGCUGAGGCCCGUUCUCUCCGCAGGAGACCAAGAGAAGGGGGAAAUGGGGUUAGGGGCCGUCCCCGGGAGACAGGCGGCCUUCCGAGAGGGACUGGAGCAGGCCGUGCGGUACGCCAAAGCCCUGAGCUGUCCCAGGUACCCCGCUCCACCCCACCCCCACCCUUCUGUGACCCAUGACGCUGCUGCAGGUUCAGGGAGUCGAGGACGCCAGAUCUGAGACGCUCAGAAGUCUGAGCCCACUGGUUUAUCUCUGCCUCUGCGGUCCUGGUCCUUUGUAAAUUGCCUUUUGUAUUUUAUCUGUCUUAUGCCAGUCUGUUUGCCACUCCUUCAUGCUUACCCCAUGCUGGGAGCUCAGUCUGCCUAGGGAGAUAGGAGAGUAAAUAUAUACAGUGAUCCAUUUGAGGACAGGCCUAUUCCAGGAAGCUGUGGGAGCAGGGUAGGCAUCUAACCCUGUCUGGAUCAGAGAAAGCUGCUUACAGGUAGUGAUGCUUGGACUGUCUUCAAGGAGUGGGCAUUGCUUGAUGGGCAGGAGGUUGAGUGUUCCUUGCAAGGGUGCUGUGGCAAAGAGGGGGCCUGGUGUAUUUGGCAGUGUUCCUGAGGCUGGACAUGUAUGUAGCCUGUUGGGAUGGGGAGGCCUGGAAUGUCUGCUUGGAGCUGGAUGUGGCUGAUAAGAUCAGGGGAUGAUGGGAGGAGGUGGACGGCUCAAAGUGGGGCUGAUUCAAAUGUCAAAUCCUGCAGAGGCCAAACAGGCUCAGAAGGAACUCGCAAGAGGGGAUCACCACUGGUCAAUGGUGGGGGCAGAAAACAGAUGGAAAGAGGCUAAGAAGUAGAUGCGAGGAGAGGAAGUAGAGAUAGCAGCAUGGAAUACCUGAGAAGGGCAAGCAAAGGUCAGGACAAUUUUUAAAGGUGAGAAUUUAGCAGGUUACAGGUUGAGGAGAAGGACCCAGGGAAGGAAAGGUUUUGGAAGGUACUGGAGGCAGGAGGCGGUGGGUGGACGCUGAGGUGUCUGGGAAAGGGCUUGCCCCUCGGCCAUCACUGAAGUGUCUCUGAAAGUGCUGGGAUACCUGGGCAUCGUGACCCAGGUGCCAUGGACUGGGGACCGGGGGAGACGGAUGAGGGCUGGCACAGUCAGGAAAUCCUGGAAGAGGUGCAGAGAGAGCCAAGGGAGGCAAGGCCUCCAGUCCAUCUUCCCCACAGGAUCCACCUGAUGGCUGGCCGAGUACCCCAGGGGGCUGAUCGAACAGCAGUCAAGGCUGAGAUGGAGACUGUUUUUCUGGAGAACCUGAGGCAUGCAGCUGGGGUUUUGGCUCAGGAGGACCUCGUGGGACUGCUGGAGCCCAUCAACACCCGCAUCACUGACCCCCAGUACUUCCUGGACACGCCCCAGCAGGCGGCAGCCAUCUUACAGAAGGUAGGAAGACCCAACCUCCAAUUACAAAUGGUAAGUGGAAGGGGGUACUUCGCAGAUCGGAAGGAGGGCAGGGCCUGCGGGGUCUCGGACUGUGGUAUACUCUUCCCUAGGACAUAUUCCACUGGCAGAUCAUGGAUGGGAACCUGACAGGAAACAUCCAGGAGUUCCUGCCCAUUGUUGGGCAUGUGCAGGUGGCACAGGUCCCAGGCCGAGGGGAGCCCAGCAGCCCUGGAGAGCUGAAUUUCCCCUAUCUGUUUCAACUGCUGGAAGAUGAAGGCUACAAAGGCUUUGUGGGCUGAGACACAGUAGAGGGCUUGAGUUGGCUACGUUCAUACUGGGAUAGGCGGGGCCACCCAGAGGCUGGCCAGUGAGGGCCUGCACACCACCCACGUGCCUCCAGACAGCGAGUGAGAUCCCAUCUCCUCCUCUGCAUUAAAGAUGACCUGCUG
RNAcentral lists this small RNA (2252 nucleotides) under Pongo abelii (Sumatran orangutan). RNAcentral describes it as "retained intron". Lineage: Eukaryota; Metazoa; Chordata; Mammalia; Primates; Hominidae. The record is from RNAcentral.